This 506-nucleotide ribosomal RNA is filed under the name uncultured bacterium. RNAcentral's name for it is "partial 16S ribosomal RNA". It matches the Rfam family "Bacterial small subunit ribosomal RNA", at positions 29 to 523 of the family's 1533-position model. The record is from RNAcentral.
AGUGAACGCUGGCGGUAGGCCUAACACAUGCAAGUCGAACGGCAGCACAGGAGAGCUUGCUCUCUGGGUGGCGAGUGGCGGACGGGUGAGGAAUACAUCGGAAUCUACUCUGUCGUGGGGGAUAACGUAGGGAAACUUACGCUAAUACCGCAUACGACCUACGGGUGAAAGCAGGGGAUCUUCGGACCUUGCGCUAUUGAAUGAGCGGAUGUCGGAUUAGCUAGUUGGCGGGGGAAAGGCCCACCAAGGAGACGAUCCGUGGCUGGUCUGAGAGGAUGAUCAGCCACACUGGAACUGAGACACGGUCCAGACGCCUACGGGAGGCAGCAGUGGGGAAUAUUGGACAAUGGGCGCAAGCCUGAUCCAGCCAUACCGCGUGGGUGAAGAAGGCCUUCGGGUUGUAAAGCCCUUUUGUUGGGAAAGAAAUCCAGCUGGCUAAUACCCGGUUGGGAUGACGGUACCCAAAGAAUAAGCACCGGCUAACUUCGUGCCAGCCGCCGCAGUAA